Molecule: ribosomal RNA, 427 nt
Filed under: uncultured bacterium
Lineage: Bacteria
Description: partial 16S ribosomal RNA
Rfam family: Bacterial small subunit ribosomal RNA
Source: RNAcentral
UGGGGAAUAUUGCACAAUGGGCGCAAGCCUGAUGCAGCCAUGCCGCGUGUAUGAAGAAGGCCUUCGGGUUGUAAAGUACUUUCAGCGAGGAGGAAGGCGUUGUGGUUAAUAACCGCAGCGAUUGACGUUACUCGCAGAAGAAGCACCGGCUAACUCCGUGCCAGCAGCCGCGGUAAUACGGAGGGUGCAAGCGUUAAUCGGAAUUACUGGGCGUAAAGCGCACGCAGGCGGUCUGUCAAGUCGGAUGUGAAAUCCCCGGGCUCAACCUGGGAACUGCAUCCGAAACUGGCAGGCUAGAGUCUUGAAGAGGGGGGUAGAAUUCCAGGUGUAGCGGUGAAAUGCGUAGAGAUCUGGAGGAAUACCGGUGGCGAAGGCGGCCCCCUGGACAAAGACUGACGCUCAGGUGCGAAAGCGUGGGGAGCAAACA